AAGAACUUCCUUUACACAUUUGUUUGAAACUAAUGAGAACAAAGAUACAACAUACCAGUAUCUCUGGGGCAAAGCUAAGGCAGUAUUACGAGGGAUAUCUACAGCAUUACAUGCCCUGAUGUAGUUGGGCUGUGUCCCCACCCAAAUCUCAUCUUAAAUUGUGGUUCCCAUAAUCCCUACAUGUCAUGGGAGGGAGCUUGUAGAAGGUAACUGAAUCAUGGAGGUGAUUACCUGCAUGCCGCUGUUCUCAUGGUAGUGAGUUCUCAAGAGAUCUGAUGGUUUUAAAGGAGAUAGACCCCCUUUUUCUUGGCACUUUUUCUUACUGCUACAAUAUGAAGAAGGACGUUUGCUUUCCCUUCCACAAUGAUUGUAAGUUUCCUGAGGCCUCUCCAGCCAUGCCGAACUGUGAGUAAAUUAAACAUC
This is a long non-coding RNA of Sapajus apella (tufted capuchin), 423 nucleotides long. RefSeq lists it as uncharacterized. NCBI's taxonomy places the organism in Eukaryota, Metazoa, Chordata, Mammalia, Primates, Cebidae. The record is from RefSeq and is a predicted model, not a curated record. The transcript has 3 exons.